CCUACGGGUGACAGCAGUGGGGAAUAUUGCACAAUGGGGGAAACCCUGAUGCAGCGACGCCGCGUGAGUGAAGAAGUAUCUCGGUAUGUAAAGCUCUAUCAGCAUGGAAGAAAAUGACGGUACCUGACUAUGAAGCUCCGUCUAACUACGUGCCAGCAGCCGCGGUAAUACGUAGGAGGCCAGCGUUAUCCGGAUUUACUGGGUGUAAUGGGAGCGUAGACGGCGCUGCAAGUCCGGAGUGAAUGCGCAUGGCUUAACCAUGGUACUGCUCUGGAAACUGUGGAGCUUGAGUGCGGGAGGGGCAGGCGGAAUGCCUAGUGUAGCGGUGAAAUGCGUAGAUAUUAGGCGGAACACCGGCGGCGAAGGCGGCCUGCUGGACCGUAACUGACGCUGAGGCUCGAAAGCGUGGGGAGCAAACAGGAUUAGAAACCCCAGUAGUC
Molecule: ribosomal RNA, 440 nt
Filed under: uncultured bacterium
Lineage: Bacteria
Description: partial 16S ribosomal RNA
Rfam family: Bacterial small subunit ribosomal RNA
Source: RNAcentral